Molecule: long non-coding RNA, 414 nt
Organism: Centruroides sculpturatus (bark scorpion)
Lineage: Eukaryota; Metazoa; Arthropoda; Arachnida; Scorpiones; Buthidae
Exons: 3
Source: RefSeq, a predicted model, not a curated record
AAUAAACCUUUUCCACUUUACAGAUCCAUGUGAUAAGAUAUUCUGUGGAGAUCAUGCAAAAUGCCAAUUAGAUCCAAGUGGAGAUCCAGUUUGUGUUUGUUCAGCUGGUUUUACGGGACGCAGUAAUAGCUUACCUGGAUGCAUUGAUAUUAAUGAAUGUGAUUCCGAUGGCCCCUCUCAUUGUGGUGAGAAUGCGUUAUGUCGAAAUUUGCAAGGAUCAUUUGAAUGUACUUGUCCGAGAGGUUUUAGUGGAGAUCCUUAUAAAGGUUGUCUUGCAAUUGAGGUUCAAGUGACAUGUUCAGAAACUAGGCCUUGUCCUUUGAAUGAAGAAUGUGUAACAGUUAGUAGAACUCCACAAUGUGUUUGCAAAAGAGGAUAUACCCGUGAUCAAGAUACUAAUCGUUGUCGAGGUAU